ACUCCUACGGGAGGCAGCAGUGGGGGAAUAUUGCACAAUGGGGGAAACCCUGAUGCAGUCAUGCCGCGUGGUGUGAAGAAGGCCUUGGGUUGUAAAGCACUUUCAGUAGGGAGGAAGGUAGUGUAGUUAACACCUGCAUUAUUUGUACGUUACCUACAGAAGAAGCACCGGCUAACUCCGUGCCAGCAGCCGCGGUAAUACGGAGGGUGCGAGCGUUAAUCGGAAUUACUGGGCGUAAAGCGCAUGCAGGCGGCCUGUUAAGUCAGAUGUGAAAGCCCGGGGCUUAACCUCGGAAUUGCAUUUGAAACUGGCAGGCUAGAGUCUUGUAGAGGGGUUAGAAUUUCAGGUGUAGCGGUGAAAUGCGUAGAGAUCUGAAGGAAUACCAGUGGCGAA
RNAcentral lists this ribosomal RNA (393 nucleotides) under uncultured bacterium. RNAcentral describes it as "bacterial SSU rRNA". It matches the Rfam family "Bacterial small subunit ribosomal RNA", at positions 335 to 719 of the family's 1533-position model. The record is from RNAcentral.